UGAGGAAUAUUGGUCAAUGGGCGCAAGCCUGAACCAGCCAUGCCGCGUGCAGGAAGAAUGCCCUAUGGGUUGUAAACUGCUUUUAUUUAGGAAUAAACCUUUCUACGUGUAGAAAGCUGAAGGUACUGAAUGAAUAAGCACCGGCUAACUCCGUG
Molecule: ribosomal RNA, 155 nt
Filed under: uncultured bacterium
Lineage: Bacteria
Description: partial 16S ribosomal RNA
Rfam family: Bacterial small subunit ribosomal RNA
Source: RNAcentral